This 323-nucleotide long non-coding RNA is filed under the name Rattus norvegicus (Norway rat). RNAcentral describes it as "long non-coding RNA NONRATT010161". The record is from RNAcentral. Lineage: Eukaryota; Metazoa; Chordata; Mammalia; Rodentia; Muridae.
GCCUCUCGCAAAGGAUCUCCUUCAUCCCUCUCCAGAAGAGGAGAAGAGGAAACACAAGAAAAAGCGCCUGGUGCAGAGCCCUAAUGCCUACUUUAUGGAUAUGAAAUGCCCAGGAUUCUAUAAAAUCACCACAGUCUUUAGCCAUGCACAAACGGGAGUCUUGUGUGUUGGCUGCUCCACUGUACUCUGUCAGCCUACAGGUGGAAAAACAAGGCUGACAGAAGGAUGCUCCUUCAGGAGGAAGCAGCACUGAAAGCCCCUGAUUCAAGAUGAGUGGGAACCUUCCCAAUAAGCACAUUUUGGAUAUAACAAAAAGAAAGAAA